UUAAUUCCCUAGCGAGACCGCUCGCAAACGAGGAGGAAGGCGGGGAUGGCGUCAAGUCAGCAUGGCCUUUAUACCCUGGGCGACACACACGCUACAAUGGGUGGUACAGUAGGUAGCGAAGGAGCGAUCCGGAGCAAAUCCUUAAAACCAUCCUCAGUACGGAUUGCAGGCUGAAACCCGCCCGCAUGAAGCCGGAGUUGCUAGUAACCGCAUAUCAGCAUGGUGCGGUGAAUACGUUCUCGGGCCUU
This 248-nucleotide ribosomal RNA is filed under the name uncultured Chloroflexota bacterium. RNAcentral's name for it is "uncultured Chloroflexi bacterium partial 16S ribosomal RNA". It matches the Rfam family "Bacterial small subunit ribosomal RNA", at positions 1132 to 1382 of the family's 1533-position model. Lineage: Bacteria; Bacillati; Chloroflexota. The record is from RNAcentral.